UAGCCAUGGGCAGGUUGAAGGUUGGGUAACACUAACUGGAGGACCGAACCGACUAAUGUUGAAAAAUUAGCGGAUGACUUGUGGCUGGGGGUGAAAGGCCAAUCAAACCGGGAGAUAGCUGGUUCUCCCCGAAAGCUAUUUAGGUAGCGCCUCGUGAAUUCAUCUCCGGGGGUAGAGCACUGUUUCGGCAAGGGGGUCAUCCCGACUUACCAACCCGAUGCAAACUGCGAAUACCGGAGAAUGUUAUCACGGGAGACACACGGCGGGUGCUAACGUCCGUCGUGAAGAGGGAAACAACCCAGACCGCCAGCUAAGGUCCCAAAGUCAUGGUUAAGUGGGAAACGAUGUGGGAAGGCCCAGACAGCCAGGAUGUUGGCUUAGAAGCAGCCAUCAUUUAAAGAAAGCGUAAUAGCUCACUGGUCNAUGCAAACUGCGAAUACCGGAGAAUGUUAUCACGGGAGACACACGGCGGGUGCUAACGUCCGUCGUGAAGAGGGAAACAACCCAGACCGCCAGCUAAGGUCCCAAAGUCAUGGUUAAGUGGGAAACGAUGUGGGAAGGCCCAGACAGCCAGGAUGUUGGCUUAGAAGCAGCCAUCAUUUAAAGAAAGCGUAAUAGCUCACUGGUCGAGUCGGCCUGCGCGGAAGAUGUAACGGGGCUAAACCAUGCACCGAAGCUGCGGCAGCGACGCUUAUGCGUUGUUGGGUAGGGGAGCGUUCUGUAAGCCUGUGAAGGUGUACUGUGAGGUAUGCUGGAGGUAUCAGAAGUGCGAAUGCUGACAUAAGUAACGAUAAAGCGGGUGAAAAGCCCGCUCGCCGGAAGACCAAGGGUUCCUGUCCAACGUUAAUCGGGGCAGGGUGAGUCGACCCCUAAGGCGAGGCCGAAAGGCGUAGUCGAUGGGAAACAGGUUAAUAUUCCUGUACUUGGUGUUACUGCGAAGGGGGGACGGAGAAGGCUAUGUUGGCCGGGCGACGGUUGUCCCGGUUUAAGCGUGUAGGCUGGUUUUCCAGGCAAAUCCGGAAAAUCAAGGCUGAGGCGUGAUGACGAGGCACUACGGUGCUGAAGCAACAAAUGCCCUGCUUCCAGGAAAAGCCUCUAAGCAUCAGGUAACAUCAAAUCGUACCCCAAACCGACACAGGUGGUCAGGUAGAGAAUACCAAGGCGCUUGAGAGAACUCGGGUGAAGGAACUAGGCAAAAUGGUGCCGUAACUUCGGGAGAAGGCACGCUGAUAUGUAGGUGAAGCGACUUGCUCGUGGAGCUGAAAUCAGUCGAAGAUACCAGCUGGCUGCAACUGUUUAUUAAAAACACAGCACUGUGCAAACACGAAAGUGGACGUAUACGGUGUGACGCCUGCCCGGUGCCGGAAGGUUAAUUGAUGGGGUUAGCGGUAACGCGAAGCUCUUGAUCGAAGCCCCGGUAAACGGCGGCCGUAACUAUAACGGUCCUAAGGUAGCGAAAUUCCUUGUCGGGUAAGUUCCGACCUGCACGAAUGGCGUAAUGAUGGCCAGGCUGUCUCCACCCGAGACUCAGUGAAAUUGAACUCGCUGUGAAGAUGCAGUGUACCCGCGGCAAGACGGAAAGACCCCGUGAACCUUUACUAUAGCUUGACACUGAACAUUGAGCCUUGAUGUGUAGGAUAGGUGGGAGGCUUUGAAGUGUGGACGCCAGUCUGCAUGGAGCCGACCUUGAAAUACCACCCUUUAAUGUUUGAUGUUCUAACGUUGGCCCGUAAUCCGGGUUGCGGACAGUGUCUGGUGGGUAGUUUGACUGGGGCGGUCUCCUCCUAAAGAGUAACGGAGGAGCACGAAGGUUGGCUAAUCCUGGUCGGACAUCAGG
Molecule: ribosomal RNA, 1837 nt
Filed under: Escherichia coli
Lineage: Bacteria; Pseudomonadati; Pseudomonadota; Gammaproteobacteria; Enterobacterales; Enterobacteriaceae
Description: bacterial LSU rRNA
Rfam family: Bacterial large subunit ribosomal RNA
Source: RNAcentral